UGCACACAAAUACCAGAUUGCCUCUGC
Molecule: non-coding RNA, 27 nt
Filed under: Homo sapiens (human)
Lineage: Eukaryota; Metazoa; Chordata; Mammalia; Primates; Hominidae
Source: RNAcentral